Molecule: transfer RNA, 77 nt
Filed under: Candidatus Cloacimonadota bacterium
Lineage: Bacteria; Pseudomonadati; Candidatus Cloacimonadota
Description: tRNA-Asp
Rfam family: tRNA
About the family: Transfer RNA (tRNA) molecules are approximately 80 nucleotides in length. Their secondary structure includes four short double-helical elements and three loops (D, anti-codon, and T loops).
Source: RNAcentral
GGGGUUAUAGUACAAUUGGCUAGUACACCAGAUUGUCGAUCUGGAUGUUGCCGGUUCGAGCCCGGUUAACCCCGCCA